Molecule: transfer RNA, 50 nt
Filed under: Argiope amoena
Lineage: Eukaryota; Metazoa; Arthropoda; Arachnida; Araneae; Araneidae
Description: tRNA-Phe
Source: RNAcentral
CUUUUUAGCUUACUUAAGAGCACUUUACUGAAGAUAAAGAGGUCUAAAUA